AAUGGUUUGAUACCAGCUCAUCUGUGAAUACCUCUGAGUUAGUUAUAUCCCAAUCUAUGUUAUAGAUUGAUCAAUGUGAAGAUAAGAUGAAAGAGUUAUAAGCAUCACCAUGAGCUCCUGAAAAAAAAUGUUGGAAGUCUGUUGGAUGCAGUGAGGUGGUCUUUCAAUUCAUUUCCUCAUGUGCCUACUAAAAUGAUGUUCCUAUCAAGCAGAGAGGUCCGAGUUAAAUAGGCUGGAAAAGAGUUGCAUCAAAUAACUGAAUGACUCAAUAGGCUUUGGCUGUGGGAUCAAAAUUCUAGGACCCAUCAAUCAGCUGUGAAAACCUCAGCAACCACUGGAUGGCAGUAGGAAAAGACAUAAGACAUCGAAAUUCAAAGCUUUUACAGAAGCAUGCUUCAAAGUUUAGAUUUUGGGAGACAGUUGAAGAGUGCAUGACAAGUGCUGAUUUAAGAUAUAAUGUGGAUAGUUACACUUCUAGGAAGACUUCUAGGAAAAACCUAAUUUAUUGACUGUGUUCAAUUACAUGUUUGCCAUAAAGUCAAUUUCCUUAGAACCCUGGAUAUACUUAUAAACUAAGCACAUGGGAAAACUUCAUCCAGCAUGAUUAAUUAGUUUCUGUGCCAGUAUAAAGUGUAAAUAAAGGCAUCAAAUGACUGCCACAUACAGGCUGAAUAUCA
Non-coding RNA from Pantherophis guttatus, 677 nucleotides. Lineage: Eukaryota; Metazoa; Chordata; Lepidosauria; Squamata; Colubridae. The record is from RefSeq and is a predicted model, not a curated record.